GUUGGGUAACACUAACUGGAGGACCGAACCGACUAAUGUUGAAAAAUUAGCGGAUGACCUGUGGCUGGGGGUGAAAGGCCAAUCAAACCGGGAGAUAGCUGGUUCUCCCCGAAAGCUAUUUAGGUAGCGCCUCGUGAAUUCAUCUCCGGGGGUAGAGCACUGUUUCGGCUAGGGGGCCAUCCCGGCUUACCAACCCGAUGCAAACUGCGAAUACCGGAGAAUGUUAUCACGGGAGACACACGGCGGGUGCUAACGUCCGUCGUGAAGAGGGAAACAACCCAGACCGCCAGCUAAGGUCCCAAAGUCAUGGUUAAGUGGGAAACGAUGUGGGAAGGCCCAGACAGCCAGGAUGUUGGCUUAGAAGCAGCCAUCAUUUAAAGAAAGCGUAAUAGCUCACUGGUCGAGUCGGCCUGCGCGGAAGAUGUAACGGGGCUAAACCAUGCACCGAAGCUGCGGCAGCGACACUGUGUGUUGUUGGGUAGGGGAGCGUUCUGUAAGCCUGUGAAGGUGUGUCGUGAGGCAUGCUGGAGGUAUCAGAAGUGCGAAUGCUGACAUAAGUAACGAUAAAGCGGGUGAAAAGCCCGCUCGCCGGAAGACCAAGGGUUCCUGUCCAACGUUAAUCGGGGCAGGGUGAGUCGACCCCUAAGGCGAGGCCGAAAGGCGUAGUCGAUGGGAAACGGGUUAAUAUUCCCGUACUUGGUGUUACUGCGAAGGGGGGACGGAGAAGGCUAUGUUGGCCGGG
This 742-nucleotide ribosomal RNA is filed under the name Salmonella enterica subsp. enterica serovar Enteritidis. RNAcentral describes it as "partial 23S ribosomal RNA". It matches the Rfam family "Bacterial large subunit ribosomal RNA", at positions 751 to 1495 of the family's 2925-position model. The record is from RNAcentral. Lineage: Bacteria; Pseudomonadati; Pseudomonadota; Gammaproteobacteria; Enterobacterales; Enterobacteriaceae.